CGCCCUACACCAAAAUACCAUUAAAGGUGAUUAUUUUUACAGUCAUAGGCAGUGAGCUUUAGGGCCUAUAUCUCACUCGUUCCAAGUCGGAUCGCUCUCAAAUUUUGUGAGCAUGUUCAUCUCAUCAAGACGAGCAUUUCAAUAGAUGGUACACCUCGUGAUGAUGCCCAAGCAGGGAGAAAAAUUUGAGAGAAGUUGCUGAUCCGAGAAAAAAAUUGCAGAAAAAUCAGCAGCAGCAUGCCUCACUCGAGCGGCCAAAUCAUGGUGCCCACAUACAAGUUCGAUAUGAAACCAAUUGUCUUAUGUGCAUAAGGUCCGUGGCUAUCUUCGGUCUGAACCCUGCGUACGAUGAACGGUUGGAUUUCACACAAGGAGGUGUCGAAGUUGUUGUAAAUUCCUGCCGUCAAAUUUCAAGAUUCUGACCAAAAACUCAAGACAAUGAAAUCUUAAUCCGGACAUGAAAUCAAGGUGCGUUUCUUGUAAGGUGAUUUUGGUAGCAUGCUCAGUACGAUUCAGUGAAUAAAGAAAUAAAAAAAAACAUCAAGGAACGAGUGCACUAUCGAUCCGAAUCUUUCAAGAUUCACGUAAAAUUCAAGUCUCAAUAUCAUGGCUCAAAAAC
RNAcentral lists this long non-coding RNA (619 nucleotides) under Amborella trichopoda. RNAcentral describes it as "long non-coding RNA (ATRI_LNC001570)". The record is from RNAcentral. Lineage: Eukaryota; Viridiplantae; Streptophyta; Magnoliopsida; Amborellales; Amborellaceae.